GAUCACCUGAGGUCAGGUGUUUGAGAUCAGCCUGGCCAACAUGGUAAAACCCUGUCUCUACUAAAAAUACAAAAAUUAGCUGGGCAUGGUGGCAGGCGCCUGUGAUCCCAGCUAGCUACUAGGGAGGCUGAGGCAGGAGAAUCGCUUGAACCUGGGAGGCGGAGGAUGCAGUGAGCCGAGAUCACGCCAUCGCACUCCAGCCUGGGCAACAA
Molecule: long non-coding RNA, 212 nt
Filed under: Homo sapiens (human)
Lineage: Eukaryota; Metazoa; Chordata; Mammalia; Primates; Hominidae
Description: HSALNT0370089
Source: RNAcentral